This 85-nucleotide transfer RNA is filed under the name Felis catus (domestic cat). It matches the Rfam family "tRNA". From Rfam's summary of the family: Transfer RNA (tRNA) molecules are approximately 80 nucleotides in length. Their secondary structure includes four short double-helical elements and three loops (D, anti-codon, and T loops). The record is from Rfam by way of RNAcentral. Lineage: Eukaryota; Metazoa; Chordata; Mammalia; Carnivora; Felidae.
GCCUGGGUGGCUCAGUCGGUUGGGCGUGGGACUUUGGCUCAAGUCAUGAUCUCACAGUUCGUGGGUUCGAGCCCCACGUCAGGCU